CCUACGGGUGGCUGCAGUGAGGAAUAUUGGUCAAUGGACGAGAGUCUGAACCAGCCAAGUAGCGUGAAGGAUGACGGCCCUAGGGGUUGUAACCUUCUUUUAUAUGGGAAAAAAGAAGAGUAUGCAUACCGACUUGUAUGUACCUUAUGAAUAAGGAUCGGCUAACUCCGUGCCAGCAGCCGCGGUAAUACGGAGGAUCCGAGCGUUAUCCGGAUUUAGUGGGUUUAAAGGGAGCGUAGGUGGCUUGUUAAGUCAGUUGUGAAAGUUUGCGGCUCAACCGUAAAAUUGCAGUUGAAACUGGCAGUCUUGAGUACAGUAGAGGUAGGCGGAAUUCGUGGUGUAGCGGUGAAAUGCUUAGAUAUCACGAAGAACUCCGAUUGCGAAGGCAGCUCACUGGACUGCAACUGACGCUGAUGCGCGAAAGUGUGGGGAGCAAACAGGAUUAGAUACCCGAGUAGUC
RNAcentral lists this ribosomal RNA (460 nucleotides) under uncultured bacterium. Its description in RNAcentral is "partial 16S ribosomal RNA". It matches the Rfam family "Bacterial small subunit ribosomal RNA", at positions 338 to 795 of the family's 1533-position model. The record is from RNAcentral.